This is a long non-coding RNA of Peromyscus californicus insignis, 451 nucleotides long. RefSeq lists it as uncharacterized. The record is from RefSeq and is a predicted model, not a curated record. The transcript has 3 exons. NCBI's taxonomy places the organism in Eukaryota, Metazoa, Chordata, Mammalia, Rodentia, Cricetidae.
GGGCUACAGAUGUCACUAUCAACAAUGGACUGGACCCUAUAACAUCAAUUAGAAAUCAAGAAAACCCACAUGUCCAACUGGUGCAAAUAGUUCUUCAUUUGAGGUUCCCUCCUUCUUUCCAGUUCCCAUCUCCUUAUUCCUGCUGCCCUGCAUGCAAUUUGCUGCCAUGCUUUCCCACCACAAUGGACUCUCAUCCCUCUGGAACUGUAGAAGCUGUUCAGGAUUUCCCAGUUGUUGUGGACCAAGGCAGUGGAGAAUCAAGAAACAGUGAACAGUUUGGAGGAAGGUGACAUCACUUUCGGUGGGUUGUGUGAACCACUGAAGCUUCCCAGGCUGGAAGAUGGGCACAGUAGCCACAAGCCUUCAUGACACUGGAAAGCACAAGCCUCAGACAUGAAGCAAGAGCUGUGGUGAGGCUUCAUCCUGGAACUUCAGUGUGAGGCGUAGAGGA